This 248-nucleotide ribosomal RNA is filed under the name uncultured Roseburia sp. RNAcentral's name for it is "partial 16S ribosomal RNA". It matches the Rfam family "Bacterial small subunit ribosomal RNA", at positions 524 to 771 of the family's 1533-position model. Lineage: Bacteria; Bacillati; Bacillota; Clostridia; Lachnospirales; Lachnospiraceae. The record is from RNAcentral.
UACGUAUGGCGCGAGCGUUAUCCGGAUUCACUGGGUGUAAAGGGAGCGCAGGCGGCCUGCCAAGUCCGGUGUGAAAGCCCGGGGCUCAACCCCGGGACUGCAUUGGAAACUGGCGGGCUGGAGUUCCGGAGAGGCAGGCGGAAUUCCUGGUGUAGCGGUGAAAUGCGUAGAUAUCAGGAGGAACACCGGUGGCGAAGGCGGCCUGCUGGACGGACACUGACGCUGAGGCUCGAAAGCGUGGGGAGCGA